This 492-nucleotide ribosomal RNA is filed under the name uncultured bacterium. RNAcentral describes it as "partial 16S ribosomal RNA". It matches the Rfam family "Bacterial small subunit ribosomal RNA", at positions 30 to 507 of the family's 1533-position model. The record is from RNAcentral.
AUUGAACGCUGGCGGUAGGCCUAACACAUGCAAGUCGAACGGCAGCACAGUAAUAGCUUGCUCUUACGGGUGGCGAGUGGCGGACGGGUGAGGGGUACAUCGGAAUCUGCUUUUUCUUGGGGGAUGACGUAGGGAAACUUACGCUAAUACCGCAUACGGCCUACGGGUGAAAGCAUGGGAUCUUCCGACCUUGCGCGAUUCGAUGAGCCGAUGUCGGAUUAGCUAGUUGGCGGGGUAAAGGCCCACCAAGGCGACGAUCCGUAGCUGGUCUGAGAGGAUGAUCAGCCACACUGGAACUGAGACACGGUCCAGACUCCUACGGGAGGCAGCAGUGGGGAAUAUUGGACAAUGGGCGCAAGCCUGAUCCAGCCAUACCGCGUGGGUGAAGAAGGCCUUCGGGUUGUAAAGCCCUUUUGUUGGGAAAGAAAAGCAGCAGGUUAAUACCCCGCUGUUCUGACGGUACCCAAAGAAUAAGCACCGGCUAACUUCGUG